AUGCUACUCCCUCCGCCUGGAAAUACUUGUCAUCAAAAUGGAUAAAAGGGGAUGUAUCUAGACGUAUUUUAGUUCUAGAUACAUCUUUUUUUGUCCAUUUUGAUGACAAGUAUUUUCGGACGGAGGGAGUACUUU
Triticum urartu is the source of this 135-nucleotide non-coding RNA. Lineage: Eukaryota; Viridiplantae; Streptophyta; Magnoliopsida; Poales; Poaceae. The record is from Rfam.